RNAcentral lists this transfer RNA (76 nucleotides) under candidate division CPR2 bacterium GWD1_39_7. RNAcentral's name for it is "tRNA-Ala". It matches the Rfam family "tRNA". From Rfam's summary of the family: Transfer RNA (tRNA) molecules are approximately 80 nucleotides in length. RNAcentral also lists the same sequence under 2 other names. Lineage: Bacteria; candidate division CPR2. The record is from RNAcentral.
GGGCCCAUAGCUCAUCUGGUAGAGCGCCUCGUUUGCACCGAGGAGGUGGCAGGUUCGAGUCCUGUUGGGUCCACCA